UGGUCUUUGAAAACAGUAGAAGUACAGUGUUAAGUUCCACUAUAGAAAAGAUUACAUAACAUUUGGUAUUAAAAAAUAGCAUAAAACCACCAAGCAAAAUAUGACAUAAUGCACUCCCACAUCGUCUCCCUACUCAUGACUUUAAUACCAUAAAAGUAAUUUGCUCUACGUUCUCUAUUUUCUAGAACAGGAAACACUAGAGCUCUGGAUUGACGCCUUUGCCCCAAAUAGACACUGGAUUCAUAUGUUGAAGACUUAACCCACAAUGUGAUGGUACUUGGAGAUGAGGCCUUUGGGAGAAAUAGCAAGACAGUGAACAUUUUGUAAGCCAAGAGAGCGCUCACCAGAAACUGAUCAUGAUGGCAUCUUUAUCUCUGACUUCAGCCUUCAGAACUGUG
Molecule: long non-coding RNA, 398 nt
Organism: Acinonyx jubatus (cheetah)
Lineage: Eukaryota; Metazoa; Chordata; Mammalia; Carnivora; Felidae
Exons: 3
Source: RefSeq, a predicted model, not a curated record